CGUCGUCACGUCACUACCCAGCCACCAUGGCAUCGCUGCCUGCUGCCGCCGAACCUAUUCCGCCGCCGAACCGAUUAUCGCGUUCUGCUGCACGCCGUCACGGAGGAAGACCAAAACCCAGGGAGAGGGCCGCGCGAGGAGAGGUCGGCAUUGCCGUUCCCUGAAGCCCGUGUCGCCGUCGAGCCCAGAUGAGAGAGAAGAGACCGAGCCUGAACCCCGACGAGCUGGGAAGAACCAGCACCGCCGCUGUGCCGUCGUCGUGGACACCAUCGCCGCCAUUCGUGCCUUUGAUUCGCGCCGGUGUGACUUCUGUCGCCGUUAGGCUGUCCGCUGACGUCACCGCCGCCAUAACCGCCGUUGCUGGUGACCUCCAGUGGAACCCUGAUCGUCUUGGUAAGCAUUUCGUUCCGAAACCUUUGAAAUCAAUAUUCUGUUAUGUUUGGCUAGAGAUUCUGAGAUCUUGGUUACCAUAGGGUCGAGCUCCGAGGUUUGCAUGUCGAAUUUUUAGGUUGCCGUUGAACCACUGGAGUUUCUCGCCCUUGUCGAAGCUCCCGCCAAGUCAGUUCGGGAUUACGGCUGCUCAGUUCUGCUGUCACCGUAAGUGUACUCUAUUUCGAACCCUCAUUGUUAGUUUUUCGUUAUGGGUUUUAAGAUUUUCGCGAUAUUAAUGUUUUUAGGAAUUAGAAAUCGAGUUUGCAUGUCACGAUUGAGGCUGUUCUGCUAUUAAGAAAGUAAGCAGAGAUGAGGUUUUGGUUGCUGUUGAUUCCGGGCUGAGAGUAAAGAGUUCAGUUGACACAUUUGGAUUAUGGUUUCGCUUACCGAGGUAGGAGUUUUUAUAAAACUAAUUUAUUUUAAAGUGGAAUUGUUAUAAAUUGAUACGACGAGCGAAAUGCUUUUCCGGUGAUUAUGUAAGUCCUAUGCAUUGUUUGGUUUAUCUUAGAUGAAUAUGGUUGUCUGCUUGACUGAGAUAAUGUCUAAUUUUAUUAAAAUUGAGAUUUCUGAUUGGUUUGGCUUGAAAUGAUUUUUGAUAUUUAAAGUUCUGAGUUUUGUUUAUUGGAGACUGAUUUGGUCUUGAAUCCUUUGGAAAGGAGUUGAGGAUUGGUUUGGUUGGGAUCCGAAAGGGUGGCAAAGUCCAAGUUUUAGGGGAGAUGCUGCCGAAUUUUUAUAAAAAUCUAGAUUCUGUUUUAAAAUGUGAUUUAGAAAAAGAUUUGGACUUGAGAGGUUCUACGAAUUGGUUCUUGAUUUAUUAAGAAAUUGGUGUUUUGGGUUUAAACUGUUUAAUAAAAGUUUAUGUUUCCCGAUUGAUUUAAAUAUGAGGGGCCUAUGUUUUGAAGUUUGGUUAAAGAAGUACCUUUGGGGGAGUUUAGCGGAAUUUGAAAGAAAUUGAACUUGAUUAAUUAAUUUCGUGUUGCUCUUAAAGUAUUCUUUAAGUUCGACUUUAAGUUCGACUAAACAAUUCUAAGCCUUUGGGAGAGUUUCUGAUUUAAGAAUGAAAAGAAAUUGGGUUUUUUUUGGACUUCAAUAAUUUUGGUUUUGAAACUGGUUCAGAACUCUUGGCUUACAUGCUUUGGUUUUGAUUUUAAAUCUAAUCUUUAAUUUAUCUCAACUUAAGCAACUAUGAUUCCGAGAAUUUCUGAAGAGUUUAAGAAAUGAGGCAGGUUAUGCUUCCCUAAAGUCUUGAGUCCUUGUCAAGGUUGUUGAUUAAUAACUCUUGAUUUCAAAGUGAUGGAGUGAAUGAUUUGGAAAUGAGUGAUUUUGAGUCUUUCAGAAGAGAUUUUGAAUCUGGCUUGGUUAUGAAGUUGUUUGAAAGUUUUGAAAAGAAAAUUUACUUAAGAAAAGUCGUUCUUGGCAAGAUGUGAACUGAAUACGUUUGUGAUUUGAAAGUUGGCCAAGAAUGAUUUUUGAAAUAAGAUUUUGAGUCUGAUUAACUGUGGAUGUUAUUGAGAAUAUGAUGAGGCCUGGCAAGGAUGGUGGUAUAGUCCCGCUUGCUCAGUGCGUAAACCGUUAUGCAGGGAUGGUUGUUUUGUCCCGCCUGCAGUGAGGAUGGUGGUUUUGUCCCGCUCACAUAUUGAUAAAUUAUUUGGCAAAGACGGUGGUUUAAAUCCCGCUUGCGUGUUCCGGGCAAGGAUGGUGGUUUAGUCCCGCUUGCUUGUGGAACCUACGGAUAAGGAUGGUGGUUGAAUCCCGCUUAUCUGAGUCGGGUCUGGCAACAUAACUGACGCGUGAGCUCAUGGCCAGUAGGACAGGCAUGCAUCAUAUGCAUUUAUAUGACAUUGUUUGGGUGUGCAUAUUAUAAUUGGUUUGCCUAUGUGAAUAGUUAUGUUAAUUGCUAAUUGCUCUACUUGAUAUAACUGCUUGAUUGUGUUUGAACUUUCUUACUUGUGUUUGUGGCUGAGAAUUGGUUGGAUUGUGAUGAAUUGGUUGUUGAUUGAGCUGCUUGGGCCUAGGGCCGUGGUUGAUUAUGAGAUGGGCUGAAUGCUGUGUUUGGUUGUGUUUUCGGUUUAGAAAAGUAUGAAAAAUCAAACUGGUUCAGCAUAGACUUAAUGAACCUAUGCUUGGAACAGUUUGGUCAUUCAUGCUGUCUAGGGAAAAACUUUUUAAAAAAAAAAAGGAGCUUUUGGAUUUCUGAGAAAUUAACAGCUUUCCCUUUUAGAAAGGAUUUCGGAUUUUGAAUAUUAAAUCUUUGGUUUUGAAAAGAAGCAUAAGGCGGUUAUUAAUCACUAUACAUUAAAAACGGUUUUAUUGUUGUAUCUUAUUAUAGCAAUUCUGUAACCCUAUAGUGAGAACCUUUUCGAGGACGAUGUUCUCACUCCCCUACAGGUUUUUCCCUUUUCAGGAUAUGGGCGAUGGAGUUUCAGGAGAGUUAUAUUUAUUUUCUGUUUAUUCGACAUUAUUUUGUAUUAUCUUAGUUUUAUGUUUCCCUCGCCUUUAAUUUUGAAAGUCUUCACAAGAGGGAUAGGAUUUUGAUUAUGUAAUGCUUGUAAUAUUAAUAAUAUGUAGAUAUAUGUAUAUGUAUCUUUUGUAAGUAUUAUGGUUUGUUUUGUAAAUGUGGUUGUAUGUUAUCAGAUAAGAAGCCUCUUGAGCAGUUAUACGGUUUAAUUUUUUUAAACAGGCACGGUUUAAUUUUUUUAAACAGGCUCAUAUUUUAGUAUUAAAUAUUUUAGAAGUCAUCGUAAUACCCGAGCUAUCAGAGUGGCGCAGCCGGAAGCGUGACAUUUUGAUAGUUAGGGUGUUACAUUAUGGUAUCAGAGCGGUCCUUCCUGUAGAGCCUGAGGAAUGGACCGAUUAUGCUUUAUUUGCAUACUCUGAGCGUCUGUCAUGUAGUAGGUCUUGUUCGGAUAACAAGAAUUAGAGCUUUAUGCACAUGACUGUCUAUUGAUUAAUGCUGUUAGCCUGUCAUUGCAUACUUCUUGGUAUUAAGUUUGGCCGGCUUAAUAUUAGUGACUUAUGUAUAUGAAAGCACUAAUGGGUUAUCAUAGACGAUAUGCAAGUUGUAGGAAACGCGAAUCGCGGGUUUUGGGAACGUUAGAAAUUAAUUUCCAAGGUUACAGCUAUGUGUCUGGUUUUCUGCUGAAGUCAUGUGACGUGUUCUUUCAUGGUUUAUCUUGAACUUCUUGUUUGCUAUUUUCUUUUGGGAAGUAGUUUGAUUGUUCCAACCCUCUUCCUCUGUUCAUAUGCUUUCUCCUUUGAUUCCAACUGCAUAUGUCUGCCUAACGUCCUUGGUGUGUUAGCCUUCCUUUGUUUAAACUCUUUUCUUGAUCCAUAUAUUCUUUGGUACAACUUUGGUCUUGUUGAUGCAGUGUAUUCCUUUAAGCUCCUAUUCCGAGUUCUUUUUAAAGAAAUUGUGAUUUAACUUCUCUCUUACUUGACUAUAUCUACAACCAUCAUUGUUAAAGCCUUUAUAAAAUCAUUUUUGAUUCGGUAUAACCUUCUGUAAAUAAAACUUUGAAAUUUCUUUUUUAUGCAGUUUAGAAACCAUUUACUCUUAAUACUUCGCCAAUUCUUUCACUGAUUUAUGAAAAUAUACUUAUUUUAAAAUAUAUAUAUACAACUUGAUUUUCUAACGACCAUAAUACAAUUUUUAUGAAUAUUUUUUCUUGAUUAUGUAUUUAGAUACUUUUCAAAGGAAGAUUUUUGUCUCUUUUUAGUUGAUUUCCGUUUAAUAAACUUCACUUGAUCUAUUUUUUUUAAUUUGAAUUUGGUUUAGCAUAACACGUUAAUUAAGCAUUCUUUACUCUUUUGAAAAUGUUGGAUUUAUAUCUUCCUUUUCAAGGAUGGACCAAUUCCUUUUUGAGCUUUUCACUUCUAUGGAUGUCAUAUUUGAUUCUGUAUUUAAUUACUCUCUUACUUUUGUAAACAUCACCGUUAGUCUUAAUUUUCCUUCUCUUAUGAAUCUCACACUCAUCUGAGUCAGCUUGACUUUGUUUCCAUCUAAUGCACCGUUUGCCUUCUUAAUUGUCAUUCUUUAGUCAAAGGUUCUUUUUUGAGAAUUUUCUAUUGAUUGAGUUGUCUUUUCUUGCGCGUUUUGUAUUCCUUUGGAUCAAUUGAAAACUUGUUUGAUAUUUCAAGUCUAGUGAAUUUUGUUUAAAUUCCCUUGAUUUAAAGAUCCUUUCUCAUAUGGACUGAUUUCCUUUUAAGUGCACCUUAAUUUCCUGAAUAUUCCCGUGAAAGUGGUAAUUUCAAGUAUACUUUCGGAGUCUUGUUUUGAACUAUUUUGAAGAUGUUUUUAGUUCUUUUUGAAGAAGUUUCAAAUUAAAAUUUUCUUGCUUGAUUGUAACUGAAAGCCAUUUAUUAAAUUUUGAUAAGAUUGUUUUGACUUAGCAUACACUUCUUUACGUGAGAUUCUAAAAACCUUAUCGUGCGUACGCGGAACUCUGCUUUUGAUAAAAGUGUGUUUACGGAAAUUUUUACCUCGGAUUUUUCUUUUCUAAAUAAAGUUUGACUUCUUCUAUCUUUGUUACCUUUACACACAUUUGAUUGAAUAUGAACUUUGAGAAAAUUUUGAACAAACUUUUAAUUUUCUUUCGAGUUUUAUGCAUACUUUUGGUUAAGUUGUGCACCUAACUGCCUUUCUAAAUAUUUGAGGAAAUAAUUUGCUUUUAGUCAAGCUAGUAUUCAUUUUGUUUUAAAAACUCUACAUAAUCUAUUUCAACAUGAAAUUUGCAUUAAAGUGAUGCCACAUUCAUACUCUUGUUAUUCUUUUGCAAAAUGUUGGUUACGCCUUUUCUUUGAGAAUGUGAAAUGGGUUUUGAAAAAGUUUCUAUUCUUUAUGAGCAAUGUGUUCGAAGGUACUCUUAAUCCUAACUCAAGUCUUAUAAACUUUAUCUUAAGUUUAAGGCAUUCUUCUUCUAUAAACUUCACACUUCUUUGAUUCAACUUGAUUUGGUUCAAAUUACAACACUACUUUUCUUUUAUUAUUCCCAUCGGAUUUCAUUGAUUCGGGAGUCAUUCUUGAGAUUGCCAAACUAAUUUCCUUUCUGGCACUUUUCACUCCUUUUGCAUCCUUGAUUACUUGUGAUCUCAACAAUCUUUUCAAGUUCUUGUGGAUUUUGUCUUUGUCGCUUGUCCUUUUUCAAGGUCUUGUAUACUUCUGAAUAAGCGCGAGAAUUGCUGUAGUGUCACAUGCGACUUUUAGGUAUAGUAAGCGAUACAUUAGUUCUUUAAGAAGUGGUUUAUGGAUAUAGAAGGUGAAGCGGUAAGUGUGCAACGUUAUAAAGAGCGUGGUAGUUUGUUCCUCGUAAAAAUUUGUGGAUGUUAGGCUUGUGACAGGUUAUGGAUUUCUGAAGUGACUAAUGAAGUUGGGAAGUUGAAGCUCUGAAGUUGGUACACAGUCUAUGCGCAAACAUUAUCCUGUUUGUUCAAGUCAACUUGUUUUCAAACCUUUGCCACCUAGAUACCCCUUUGUUUUUGCAAACACCUAACUUGAACACUUACACCUUCUUGUGCUCCAAGUUUUGGUAAAAUAGUAACCCCUGUAUCAUUUUUGUUUUAACCAUCUCUUAACUUUUGCUUAGACCAUUCUUUACCCUUACAUUUAAGUUUUACGAGUCAUCCGGCAUUUGGAAAAUUAUAUGUAUAUAUAUAUGGCAAGACAUCUACUUUUCUAAAGUAUACAAAAGUAAAGUAUUAUAAACUAUUUUAGUAUGUUGUGUAUUAAGUUAAUUUUUUAGGACGAAAAUUUUCAUAAGUGGGGUAGGAUGUAAGAUCCCGAAUUUUAAAAAGAAAUUAAUAAAUUAUUUAUGAUCCAUUAUAUUUAUUUAAGAUAAUAUUUUUGGAAAUUCUAUAUAUAAAGGUUGAGUAAAUUCUUAUUUAUUAUUUAGAGUCCUUAUAAUUGAAAAAUAAUGAGUAUUUCAUGUCUUAAUUUUAAUAUAUAAAUUUUAACCUUAUUUUAUAAAUAAAGGAGGAUUAAUUUACUUAUCUCUAAUUUUCACUAAAUUGGUAUUUAACCGAAAAUUAUUUAAAGAUUAUUAAUUAGAAGAUAUUUUUUUAAAAGAUGGAUACUUUAUAUUUAAUUUGAUUUUUAUUAUUAUCCUACUUUUUAUUUAUUUCAUAAAAUUACACUACUAUCCCUAUUAUUCACAAAAAAAAUACCUAAACCUAAUUUUCUAUCCUAACCCUAACUAAACUACGCUCACCUCACCCCACACCCACGGUUAGCUCACACAACCCACUACCCAGCUCACCAACACUCAAAAACAGAAAAAAAAGAGAGAGAAACGAAAGAAAGGGAUGAGAGGAGAGGGGAGCUACGGUAAGGGAGAAGGGGGAAAAGAGGGAGAGAGCGACGGAGAGCUGCGCCCUGCCGCCGAUCCGCCACCGAACUCGCCGCCCAGCCGUCGUCACGUCACUACCCAGCCACCAUGGCAUCGCUGCCUGCUGCCGCCGAACCUAUUCCGCCGCCGAACCGAUUAUCGCGUUCUGCUGCACGCCGUCACGGAGGAAGACCAAAACCCAGGGAGAGGGCCGCGCGAGGAGAGGUCGGCGUUGCCGUUCCCUGAAGCCCGUGUCGCCGUCGAGCCCAGAUGAGAGAGGAGAGACCGAGCCUGAACCCCGAC
Molecule: long non-coding RNA, 7055 nt
Filed under: Arachis ipaensis
Lineage: Eukaryota; Viridiplantae; Streptophyta; Magnoliopsida; Fabales; Fabaceae
Description: long non-coding RNA (AIPA_LNC002489)
Source: RNAcentral